Lucilia cuprina (Australian sheep blowfly) is the source of this 80-nucleotide small nucleolar RNA. It matches the Rfam family "Small nucleolar RNA Me28S-Cm3227". From Rfam's summary of the family: Me28S-Cm3227 is a member of the C/D class of snoRNA which contain the C (UGAUGA) and D (CUGA) box motifs. The record is from Rfam. NCBI's taxonomy places the organism in Eukaryota, Metazoa, Arthropoda, Insecta, Diptera, Calliphoridae.
UAGCCUGAUGAUAUGUUUAAUCUGAAAGAAAUCUAUGCUGAUCACUCAUAAAAUAUUAAACCAAAAGGAUUCUGAAACUU